GACGAACGCUGGCGGCGUGCUUAACACAUGCAAGUCGAACGGAAAGGCCCUGCUUGCAUGGUACUCGAGUGGCCAACGGGUGAGUAACACGUGGGUGAUCUGGCCUGCACUUCUGGAUGAGGCUGGGAAACUGGGUCUAAUACCAGAUAUGACCUUCCAGGUAGUGUUGGGGGUGGAAAGAUUUAUCGGUGUGGGAUAGGCCCGCGGCCUAUCUGCUUGUUGGUGGGGUAAUGGGCUACCAAGGCGUCGACGGGUAGCCGGCCUGAGAGGGUGGACGGCCACAUUGGGACUGCGAGACGGACCAGACUCCUACGGGAGGCAGCAGUGGGGAAUAUUGCACAAUGAGACGGAGCCUGAUGCAGCGACGCCGCGUGGGGGAUGACGGCCUUUGGGUUGAAAACAUCUUUCGACAGAGACGAAGCUGCGGUGACGGUACCUAUAGAAGAAGCACCGGCUAACUACGUG
RNAcentral lists this ribosomal RNA (465 nucleotides) under uncultured bacterium. Its description in RNAcentral is "partial 16S ribosomal RNA". It matches the Rfam family "Bacterial small subunit ribosomal RNA", at positions 28 to 507 of the family's 1533-position model. The record is from RNAcentral.